Molecule: long non-coding RNA, 234 nt
Filed under: Brachypodium distachyon (stiff brome)
Lineage: Eukaryota; Viridiplantae; Streptophyta; Magnoliopsida; Poales; Poaceae
Description: long non-coding RNA (BDIS_LNC000309)
Source: RNAcentral
ACUAGGAUUUGGAACUCCUGCUGACAUCAACCAGUUUUUAUUCAGAACCUGAUGAGUCAAAAGAAGCUGUUGAGUCAGAGGAACCUGUUGAGUCAGAAGAACCUGUAGAACCUGUUGAGUCAGAAGAACCUGUAGAACCUGUUGAGUCAGAAGAAACUGAUACUGAAACUUCCAGCGAUCCUGAUUGUACGAAGAAUGACCCUGAGUAUGUCCCAAGUUCGAGUGACUCUGAAG